CUCGGUCCCCCGCGUGACGGUAUCACCUGAACCUCCCCAGGGCCGGAAGGCAGCAAGGAUAGGGCUGCUCUGCCGGGUGCGCGGGGGACCACUAUC
Molecule: signal recognition particle RNA, 96 nt
Rfam family: Bacterial small signal recognition particle RNA
About the family: The signal recognition particle (SRP) is a universally conserved ribonucleoprotein involved in the co-translational targeting of proteins to membranes. Archaeal SRP consists of a 7S RNA and homologues of the eukaryotic SRP19 and SRP54 proteins. In most bacteria, the SRP consists of a 4.5S RNA and the Ffh protein (a homologue of the eukaryotic SRP54 protein).